GUGCCACUCAUGUGGAUAUUGCUUGUGACGCGGAGUUGGUGAAGCUUGCAGCGAGCCUAACUUCUCUUCCGAUUUGUGUUUCCUCUGUAGAUCCCGAGUCAUUCCUCCCUGCAGUUCAAGCGGGCGCUCACAUGGUAGAGAUUGGAAAUUAUGAUUCCUUCUAUGAUAUGGGCAUACAGUACUCACCAGAGCAGAUACUAAAGCUAACAUGCGAGACAAGGAGGAUACUUCCAUAUAUUACUCUAUCUGUCACUGUGCCUCACACGAUAACUCUACCUGAACAGGUGAAGUUGGCAGAGUUACUGGAACAGGAAGG
RNAcentral lists this unclassified non-coding RNA (316 nucleotides) under Hevea brasiliensis (rubber tree). The record is from RNAcentral. Lineage: Eukaryota; Viridiplantae; Streptophyta; Magnoliopsida; Malpighiales; Euphorbiaceae.